ACCUGUGCCUGGUGGGGAAGAUACUAUGAUCACAAAGGUGGUUCUUCCAGGGAAAGGCUCAGCCGUUGCACUGCGGUUGUGCUCGCCCCUGCAAAUUCCCCAAAUUUUCAAAUCUUGACUGCAUGAUUUCUGGUUGUGGGGCACUGUGUGGCUCAGUGGGCUAAGCCUCU
Molecule: small nuclear RNA, 170 nt
Organism: Brienomyrus brachyistius
Lineage: Eukaryota; Metazoa; Chordata; Actinopteri; Osteoglossiformes; Mormyridae
Product: U1 spliceosomal RNA
Exons: 1
Source: RefSeq, a predicted model, not a curated record